AAGUCGUAACAAGGUUUCCGUAGGUGAACCUGCGGAAGGAUCAUUGCUGAUUUUCAUGAGGGAGAGGGCGACCUCUCCCCGACCGACACCUCCGUGCACUCUGGGGGGGGAACUCUCCGUCUCCCCUUUUUUUUGAUAACGAACGCCUGUAUUUCUCGCGCGUAUACGACGACCCCUUCGCGGGGUAUGAAAAGAAAUACAA
Molecule: unclassified non-coding RNA, 202 nt
Filed under: plant metagenome
Description: partial contains small subunit ribosomal RNA and internal transcribed spacer 1
Rfam family: Eukaryotic small subunit ribosomal RNA (bases 1-46)
Source: RNAcentral